RNAcentral lists this ribosomal RNA (371 nucleotides) under uncultured bacterium. Its description in RNAcentral is "bacterial SSU rRNA". It matches the Rfam family "Bacterial small subunit ribosomal RNA", at positions 527 to 896 of the family's 1533-position model. The record is from RNAcentral.
GUAGGGUGCGAGCGUUAAUCGGAAUUACUGGGCGUAAAGUGUGCGCAGGUGGCCGCGCAAGUCGAGUGUGAAAUCCCCGGGCUUAACUUGGGAAUUGCGCUCGAAACUACGUGGCUAGAGUGUGGCAGAGGGAGGUGGAAUUCCACGUGUAGCGGUGAAAUGCGUAGAGAUGUGGAGGAACACCAAUGGCGAAGGCAGCCUCCUGGGCCAACACUGACACUCAUGCACGAAAGCGUGGGGAGCAAACAGGAUUAGAUACUCUGGUAGUCCACGCCCUAAACGAUGAUGACUAGUUGUUGGAGGAGUUAAAUCCUUUAGUAACGCAGCUAACGCGUGAAGUCAUCCGCCUGGGGAGUACGGUCGCAAGAUUA